This 491-nucleotide ribosomal RNA is filed under the name uncultured bacterium. RNAcentral describes it as "partial 16S ribosomal RNA". It matches the Rfam family "Bacterial small subunit ribosomal RNA", at positions 29 to 507 of the family's 1533-position model. The record is from RNAcentral.
GUGCACGCUGGCGGUAGGCCUAACACAUGCAAGUCGAACGGCAGCACCGUAAGAGCUUGCUCUUACGGGUGGCGAGUGGCGGACGGGUGAGGAAUACAUCGGAAUCUACUUUUUCGUGGGGGAUAACGUAGGGAAACUUACGCUAAUACCGCAUACGACCUACGGGUGAAAGCAGGGGAUCUUCGGACCUUGCGCGAUUGAAUGAGCCGAUGUCGGAUUAGCUAGUUGGCGGGGUAAAGGCCCACCAAGGCGACGAUCCGUAGCUGGUCUGAGAGGAUGAUCAGCCACACUGGAACGGAGACACGGUCCAGACUCCUACGGGAGGCAGCAGUGGGGAAUAUUGGACAAUGGGCGCAAGCCUGAUCCAGCCAUACCGCGUGGGUGAAGAAGGCCUUCGGGUUGUAAAGCCCUUUUGUUGGGAAAGAAAAGCAGCAGGUUAAUACCCCGCUGUUCUGACGGUACCCAAAGAAUAAGCACCGGCUAACUUCGUG